This 301-nucleotide ribosomal RNA is filed under the name uncultured bacterium. RNAcentral's name for it is "partial 16S ribosomal RNA". It matches the Rfam family "Bacterial small subunit ribosomal RNA", at positions 509 to 809 of the family's 1533-position model. The record is from RNAcentral.
CAGUAGCCGCGGUAAUACGGAGGGUGCAAGCGUUAAUCGGAAUUACUGGGCGUAAAGCGUGCGUAGGCGGCUUCUUAAGUCGGAUGUGAAAUCCCUGAGCUUAACUUAGGAAUUGCAUUCGAUACUGGGAAGCUAGAGUAUGGGAGAGGAUGGUAGAAUUCCAGGUGUAGCGGUGAAAUGCGUAGAGAUCUGGAGGAAUACCGAUGGCGAAGGCAGCCAUCUGGCCUAAUACUGACGCUGAGGUACGAAAGCAUGGGGAGCAAACAGGAUUAGAUACCCCUGUAGUCCCUGUCUCUUAUAU